This 466-nucleotide ribosomal RNA is filed under the name Vreelandella stevensii. Its description in RNAcentral is "partial 16S ribosomal RNA". It matches the Rfam family "Bacterial small subunit ribosomal RNA", at positions 338 to 795 of the family's 1533-position model. Lineage: Bacteria; Pseudomonadati; Pseudomonadota; Gammaproteobacteria; Oceanospirillales; Halomonadaceae. The record is from RNAcentral.
CCUACGGGGAGGCUGCAGUGGGGAAUAUUGGACAAUGGGCGAAAGCCUGAUCCAGCCAUGCCGCGUGUGUGAAGAAGGCCUUCGGGUUGUAAAGCACUUUCAGUGGGGAAGAAAGCCUUGGGGCUAAUACCCUCGAGGAAGGACAUCACCCACAGAAGAAGCACCGGCUAACUCCGUGCCAGCAGCCGCGGUAAUACGGAGGGUGCGAGCGUUAAUCGGAAUUACUGGGCGUAAAGCGCGCGUAGGCGGUCUGAUAAGCCGGUUGUGAAAGCCCCGGGCUCAACCUGGGAACGGCAUCCGGAACUGUCAGGCUAGAGUGCAGGAGAGGAAGGUAGAAUUCCCGGUGUAGCGGUGAAAUGCGUAGAGAUCGGGAGGAAUACCAGUGGCGAAGGCGGCCUUCUGGACUGACACUGACGCUGAGGUGCGAAAGCGUGGGUAGCAAACAGGAUUAGAUACCCUAGUAGUC